This is a non-coding RNA of Paramormyrops kingsleyae, 1036 nucleotides long. NCBI's taxonomy places the organism in Eukaryota, Metazoa, Chordata, Actinopteri, Osteoglossiformes, Mormyridae. The record is from RefSeq and is a predicted model, not a curated record.
UUCUGGAAAUAAUUUGUGUGUCUUAGUGUAUGUGUGUGUAACAGCAUAUGUACAUUUUACAGAUUAUGAAACCAAAGGAGAGAGAAAUAUAUUUUCUUGACCCUGUUGAUAAAGGAGCAUUUGGACAGUACAUUGACACAUACAGGUUUAUGACGUGUUCAGCAUGUGUUCAAAGAUUACAGUGGUUCUGUUUUAAACUGUAAUCUCUUUUCUUUUUCUGUUCCCUGUUGAACUUCAAUGUUCUGUUCAGUUCGCAGACAAGUUUUGUCAGAUGGUCUACAUAGUGAUAGACAUAGGAAAGUGACACCUAAGGUCAAAGCUAAAACAGGUGCAAUUGUUUGUUGCAUAUUCUAACAAACCCAUGUGUUUUAUAAUCAUGUGUAAAUGGUUUCAUCUUUACAGGAAAAUAGUAAAGUACAUUCAUAAUGAUGAAUGGACUGAAAGAACUAUGGAUUCAUUUGAAGUAAAGUAUUUUGUAACUUUCAUUCAUUUUACUGAAUUGGGAUGAUGAGCUGUAUUUAUUAAGUUGUACUCAUCCAAAUCUAACAGAGAAUCCCAAAACAGACGGGAGACACUGACUGUGGACUCUUCAUUUUGAUGUAUACCAUGUAUAUUGCUUUGGGGCUGCAGUUUGAUUUUGAACAAGAUGACAUGCCCAUGAUCAGAUGGUGGUGUGCUCUUCUGAUAGACAACUUCUCUUUGGAAAUGUAUGUUUCAUUUUUUUCAUGCUUGUUACCAUGUUGGUUUGAACUUUAACAACAUUAACCUUUUUGAUUUGUGGUGUUUUAAUACAAGAACACAUAAGAGACAAACAGCUGCUCCACAUCUCUCCAAAAGACAAUGCCUAGAGAAGUUCAGUGACACUGGACACAAAGUUGAAACUACACUGUACCAGCUACCUCCAGAAAUUCUUACAAAAAUACUGAAGGACGUCAUUCUCAGCGAUGGGGAGACUGCAUACCGAACCCUCUCUUUGGUAUGCAGAGAAUUUCGAGAUGUUAUUGGGAAUGACGCAUUUAGAAGAGAAGUAAGUGCU